AUUGAACGCUGGCGGCAUGCCUUACACAUGCAAGUCGAACGGUAACAGGUCUUCGGAUGCUGACGAGUGGCGAACGGGUGAGUAAUACAUCGGAACGUGCCCAGACGUGGGAGAUAACGAGGCGAAAGCUUUGCUAAUACCGCAUACGAUCUAAGGAUGAAAGCAGGGGACCGCAAGGCCUUGCGCGUUUGGAGCGGCCGAUGGCAGAUUAGGUAGUUGGUGGGAUAAAAGCUUACCAAGCCGACGAUCUGUAGCUGGUCUGAGAGGACGACCAGCCACACUGGGACUGAGACACGGCCCAGACUCCUACGGGAGGCAGCAGUGGGGAAUUUUGGACAAUGGGCGAAAGCCUGAUCCAGCAAUGCCGCGUGCAGGAUGAAGGCCUUCUGGUUGUAAACUGCUUUUGUACGGAACGAAAAGGCUCUGGCUAAUACCUGGGGCACAUGACGGUACCGUAAGAAUAAGCACCGGCUAACUACGUG
RNAcentral lists this ribosomal RNA (482 nucleotides) under uncultured bacterium. RNAcentral's name for it is "partial 16S ribosomal RNA". It matches the Rfam family "Bacterial small subunit ribosomal RNA", at positions 30 to 507 of the family's 1533-position model. The record is from RNAcentral.